GCCGCGUGAACGAAGAAGGCUUUCGAGUCGUAAAGUUCUGUUAUAGGGGAAGAAGAAGUGACGGUACCCUAUGAGAAAGCCACGGCUAAUUACGUGCCAGCAGCCGCGGUAAUACGUAAGUGGCAAGCGUUAUCCGGAAUUACUGGGCAUAAAGAGUUCGUAGGCGGUUAAACAAGCCAAUAGUGAAAUCCACCAGCCUAACUGGUGUCAGCUAAUGGAACUGUAUAACUUGAGUACAGGAGAGGAAAGUGGAAUUCCUAGUGUAGUAGUGAAAUGCGUAGAUAUUAGGAAGAACAUCAGUAGCGAAGGCGACUUUCUGGACUG
This 324-nucleotide ribosomal RNA is filed under the name uncultured bacterium. Its description in RNAcentral is "bacterial SSU rRNA". It matches the Rfam family "Bacterial small subunit ribosomal RNA", at positions 396 to 736 of the family's 1533-position model. The record is from RNAcentral.